GAAAAUGCCUCCUUUGUUGUUCCGCCAGGUUGUUGCGAAAGGCAAGGGUAAGAAGAAUAGAGCUCGUUUUGAUCCUCUUCAGGUGGAUCCUCUAGCCAUCGUGAUGGAGGAAGAGGAACCUGUUGCAGGUAACGAUCCUCAUAUGCUGGAAUUUGACCCUAGCACUGUUAAUGGUGAAGAUCUUGAGUCCUUAGUGCUUUCGGAUGUGCCAGAUGUCAUUCCUUUGGAUAUGGUCCCGGCUGAGGAACAGAGGUUGUUGAAUGAUGCCCCCCUGAAGUCUUUCGAGUGAAGUGCAACAAGAACAGGAGGAAGUACAGAAGGUGGAAAAUAUGGUUUUUGACAUGGACAUGGAUAGUGUCCCUCGUGGUAGUAAUGGAAGAAAUCAGGGCAACAUGGAAGGCUAGGAAUGCAGCGACCGAAAGUAGUUCUGAUGCUUUUCAGGAACUUGUUGUGACGUCGAUGAAGAAGGCAGACAUAGGUAAAAACAAGAAUAUGGAGAUGAAAGGUUUAUGGGACGCUCAAUCUUCAGCUAGAUUGCAAGCGAAAGGCGUCAUCAAAAAAGGCCCAGGGGAGCGAUCGUUUUUCGUCAACAAGCUAUCGUCAAUGUGGACUCGGAGUCUAGUUCCUCCUCUUAUGAUGAUGAUGUUGCCAAAUAAUUUCUAGUGGACGACGCCCCUCAAUAUGAUCAUGAUCCUAAAGGGCCAGGUUCCUCUUCUUACCCCUUUUCCUUUUAAUGAAUUUUAUAUCGUGGAAUGUAA
This 758-nucleotide long non-coding RNA is filed under the name Amborella trichopoda. RNAcentral's name for it is "long non-coding RNA (ATRI_LNC002256)". The record is from RNAcentral. Lineage: Eukaryota; Viridiplantae; Streptophyta; Magnoliopsida; Amborellales; Amborellaceae.